This 500-nucleotide ribosomal RNA is filed under the name uncultured bacterium. Its description in RNAcentral is "partial 16S ribosomal RNA". It matches the Rfam family "Bacterial small subunit ribosomal RNA", at positions 28 to 523 of the family's 1533-position model. The record is from RNAcentral.
AUUGAACGCUGGCGGAAUGCUUUACACAUGCAAGUCGAGCGGCAGCGCGGGGCAACCUGGCGGCGAGCGGCGAACGGGUGAGUAAUGCAUCGGAACAUGUCCAGUCGUGGGGGAUAGCCCGCCGAAAGGCGGAUUAAUACCGCAUACGCCCGGGAGGGGAAAGCGGGGGACCUGCAAGGGCCUCGCGCGAUUGGGUUGGCCGAUGUCCGAUUAGCUAGUUGGUGGGGUAAAGGCCCACCAAGGCGAUGAUCGGUAGCUGGUCUGAGAGGAUGAUCAGCCACACUGGGACUGAGACACGGCCCAGACUCCUACGGGAGGCAGCAGUGGGGAAUUUUGGACAGUGGGGGCAACCCUGAUCCAGCCAUUCCGCGUGAGUGAAGAAGGCCUUCGGGUUGUAAAGCUCUUUUGUCCGGAGCGAAACGGUUGUGGUGAAUAUCCACGACUACUGACGGUACCGGAAGAAUAAGCACCGGCUAACUACGUGCCAGCAGCCGCGGUAA